RNAcentral lists this ribosomal RNA (449 nucleotides) under uncultured bacterium. Its description in RNAcentral is "partial 16S ribosomal RNA". It matches the Rfam family "Bacterial small subunit ribosomal RNA", at positions 29 to 523 of the family's 1533-position model. The record is from RNAcentral.
AACGAACGCUGGCGGCAUGCCUAACACAUGCAAGUCGAACGAGAUCUUCGGGUCUAGUGGCGCACGGGUGCGUAUCGCGUGGGAAUCUGCCCUUUGGUUCGGAAUAACAGUUGGAAACGACUGCUAAUACCGGAUGAUGACGAAAGUCCAUAGAUUUAUCGCCAGAGGAUGAGCCCGCGUAGGAUUAGCUAGUUGGUGUGGUAAAGGCGCACCAAGGCGACGAUCCUUAGCUGGUCUGAGAGGAUGAUCAGCCACACUGGGACUGAGACACGGCCCAGACUCCUACGGGAGGCAGCAGUGGGGAAUAUUGGACAAUGGGCGAAAGCCUGAUCCAGCAAUGCCGCGUGAGUGGUGAAGGCCUUAGGGUUGUAAAGCUCUUCUACCCGGGAUGAUAAUGACAGUACCGGGAGAAUAAGCUCCGGCUAACUCCGUGCCAGCAGCCGCCGUAA